GCGCGGUGUGGCUCCAGGGAACGUAGGUCCCGCGCCUGUGAUAAGUAAGGUUGGAUUUUCUCUUCCCUGAGGUGAAGGAUGCCCGGAGGCCUCGGCAGGACCGUGCGGAAACGGGCCUUCUGCCCAAAAGAUGCUGCUUCUCUCCUUAUUCUUUCCCCUCAGAAUCUCGCUGUCUCCUUCCAACCACCUGUGGUCGGCAUCCCCGCGUUGUCACUGCGACGCAGAGGCGAGCGAGGUGGCGGGAAGCACCCGCGGGGCGGGGAGGGACCCUGCGGGCGCGGACUCCACACCAAGCCUCUGCUCAGCGUCACCCCGCUUGCUGUGUCCUCGCAGGUCGCAGCUUCAUGGCCUGAUGCCUUCAGGAAGUAUUUUGAAGUCAUCGUGGCUGUGGAUUGGGGGAUUUCUUGUUUCCACUGACCUGUGAGGCCGCGCACGUGGAGGGAGGCACCCCGGGUCCUCCGGCACUGUCCGGCCUCGCCUGUGUCCCUAGUAGCAGUGGGCAUUUCCAGACGGUGCAGCUUGUGGCUAAAGUGACAGGAAGAUGUAGGAGCUUUCAGUCUUGGAUGAGGAUUCGAACUGAAGGGCUUAGGCCCAGCUGUCUUGGAGCAAAACAUCUGUUGUGGGGUGAGAAGGGAAAGGAGGGGUGAGGGUGCAGGGGCCCUCCUAGGAGGACAUCGGACCUGUUGGGCCGAGACCUCAUUAGAGAUCUAGAGCACGGAUGGGAGGAGCAGAGGCUCGAUUUGUGUCCUGUUCAGACUCCCACAGGCUGGGUGAUGGUGGGAGAUUUGUGCCCAUUCAGAUGUGGCGGCAGAGGAGGGCAAGGCCGAAGGAGCAGACAGCACCGCUUCUUGGGGAGUUGUGAAGGCAUCAUGCGGAGGGCCGAGCUUAGCAGCCAAGUGGAGGACAGCACCCUCCAUGCCUGGAUUCGUUACUCGCUCGUUCUCGAUGUUGAGCUGCUGGCAUAUUGCAGCACAACUAGAGAUGUACGGAUGCCCCCAUCUUGAUCUUACAGAAUCAGAGGUGCAGCCGCAAGAAAGGUCUCUACACCCUCUCGGUUUUCUCUGCUCUGCCAACACUAGUGGAAUAUGAUCACAUCCCAGGUAAGUUGUUUAUUUUUUCACAGUUUUGCUUAAAACUAAUUAUUGAGGUUUAAAAAAUGUCUAUACAUUCAUAUGAAAGUAGAAAUAACAUCCUGGAAAAUAUAGAGGAGAGGUCACAUUACAGUUCAUGGGUCAAAUGCAGCCUACUGUCUGUUUUUUUAUGGUCCACAAAUGAAGGAUGGUUUUUAUACUUUUAGGUGGCUGAGGGAAAAAAACCAAGAGUAUUAUUUUGCUUGGAAAUUGUAUGAAAUUCAGACUUCAUUGUCUAUGAAUUUUUAUUGGGACUCAGCUAUACUCAUGUAUUUAUGUAUUGCCUGUUGGUACUUUCACACUACAAAGGCAGAGUUGACUGGUUGCAGCAGAGACUGUAAUGGCCUACAAGCCUAAAAUAUUUACUGUGUGACUCUUUACAGAAAAUGUUUGCUGAUUUCUGAUAGAGAGUUGAUGAAGAGUAAGACAAAAAUGUCAUAUAGGUGAAUGCAGAUCUUGUGAUCUUACAGUUGUGAAACUGGAACAUAAAACAGUUUGUCGGUGGGCUUUAUUAGGUGACAUUGUGAAACUUCUGAUGACAGUCUUGCAGGUACUUAAAAAAGUAGUACAACAAAGUGAGUAAUUCAUGUGCAGUCCAGGGGAAAACUUAACAGAUAGCAAAAGAAAGUAUAUGAUUAAAAAAUUCAAAUAGGCCGGGCACAUUGGCUCACGCCUGUAAUCCCAGCACUUUGGAAGGCUAAGGCGGGUGGAUCAUGAGGUCAGGAGUUCGAGACCAGCCUGACCAACAUGGUGAAACCCUGUCUCUACUAAAAUUACAAAAAUUAGCUGGGCAUGGUGGUGCGUGCCUGUAAUCCCAGCUAGUCAGGAGGCUGAGGCAGGAGUAUCACUUGAACCCAGGAGGUGGAGGUUGCAGUGAGCCGAGAUUGUGCCACUGCGCUCCAGCCUGGGCAACAGAGUGAGACUCCGUCUCAGGAAAAAAAAAAAAAAAAAAAAAAAUCCAAUGAAUUGUGUAGCAUUAGGACUCAUGGUUGUUUAAAGAAACAGUCCUGGUAGGCUAGGGUGAUCAUGGGUUGUUAGGAUGUGGCAGGCUUUGUGACAGCCUUAGAGACUGGGCAGAACUGGAAUAUUUGCAAUAACUUUCGAGGGAUUCUACCUAAAAAAAAAAUUGUGGUAAAACACACAUCACAUGAAAUUCACAAGCCAUUUUAAAGUAUAGAAUUCAGUGACUUUAGUACAUUCACAAUGUUGUACAACCAUAACCACCAUUUAUUUCUGGAAUAUUUUCAUCACACCAAAAGGAAACACAUCACCCUUAAUAAGCAGUAUUGUAACUUAAUAAGCAGUUGCUCCCUUUUCCCCGCUGUGCUCCCAGCCCCUAACAACCAAUAAUCUCCUUUCUGUCUUUAUAGAUUUGCCUA
This 2509-nucleotide long non-coding RNA is filed under the name Homo sapiens (human). Its description in RNAcentral is "non-protein coding lnc-ZNF33B-4:3". The record is from RNAcentral. Lineage: Eukaryota; Metazoa; Chordata; Mammalia; Primates; Hominidae.